CGGGCUCGCGCUGCGCCCCGCCUCCGCUGGCAGUCUGGGUUGCUGGCCUCUGGGGCUUUUUUUUUUUCCACUGGCCUCCGCAGCGCACCCCUCCUUGCAAGGCAGCUCCAGAGCUAGCGGGCACGCGGGCUCCUCUCCAUGAGCUUCCUUCCCCUUAAGGCCGGACCAAGCGGCGGAGACGUGGUGGGUGGACGAGACAGAACCUUAGAUCCUGGUAAACCACUGUUCUCUCCUGCUUCUACAAAUUUGGCUCCUUUUGAUUCUGUACAAUCAAUCACGGGAAAUAUACCCGUUCUUCUUAAAAGGGAAAGAAGAAACCUCUGUCAUAGACAUCCCUGGAGCUGAUACUCUGGAUAAAUUAUUUGACCAUGCUGUAGCCAAGUUUGGAAAGAAGGACAGCCUUGGGACCAGGGAAAUCCUAAGUGAAGAACACGAAAUGCAGCCCAAUGGAAAGGUUUUUAAGAAGUUAAUUCUCGGGAAUUAUAAAUGGAUAAAAUAUCUUGAAGUGAACUGCAGAGUGAAGACCUUCUCCAGAAACCUAAGGCUUUGAGAAGCCAAAGAAUAACCACAAAUAAGCGCCAUAUUAGAAGCCUUUCCACUAUGAAACUUAAGCUAAAUGUGCUCACCAUUAUAUUGCUGCCUGUCCACUUGUUAAUAACAAUAUACAGUGCCCUUAUAUUUAUUCCAUGGUAUUUUCUUACCAAUGCUAAGAAGAAAAACGA
Molecule: long non-coding RNA, 722 nt
Filed under: Cricetulus griseus (Chinese hamster)
Lineage: Eukaryota; Metazoa; Chordata; Mammalia; Rodentia; Cricetidae
Description: lncRNA (ENSCGRG00000024206.1)
Source: RNAcentral